RNAcentral lists this ribosomal RNA (468 nucleotides) under uncultured bacterium. RNAcentral describes it as "partial 16S ribosomal RNA". It matches the Rfam family "Bacterial small subunit ribosomal RNA", at positions 28 to 507 of the family's 1533-position model. The record is from RNAcentral.
GACGAACGCUGGCGGCGUGCUUAACACAUGCAAGUCGAACGGAAAGGCCCUGCUUUUGUGGGGUGCUCGAGUGGCGAACGGGUGAGUAACACGUGAGUAACCUGCCCUUGACUUUGGGAUAACUUCAGGAAACUGGGGCUAAUACCGGAUAGGAGCUCCUGCUGCAUGGUGGGGGUUGGAAAGUUUCGGCGGUUGGGGAUGGACUCGCGGCUUAUCAGCUUGUUGGUGGGGUAGUGGCUUACCAAGGCUUUGACGGGUAGCCGGCAUGAGAGGGUGACCGGCCACAUUGGGACUGAGAUACGGCCCAGUCUCCUACGGGAGGCAGCAGUGGGGAAUAUUGCACAAUGGGCGGAAGCGUGAUGCAGCAACGCCGCGUGCGGGAUGACGGCCUUCGGGUUGUAAACCGCUUUCGCCUGUGACGAAGCGUGAGUGACGGUAAUGGGUAAAGAAGCACCGGCUAACUACGUG